CCAAUAGCGUAUAUUAAAGUUGUUGCAGUUAAAAAGCUCGUAGUUGAAUUUCGGGAUCAAAUUGUCGGUCGUGCCUCGGUACGUACUGGUAUUAUUGGUUCCUCCCUUCUGACGAACCACGAUGUCAUUAAUUUGGUGUCAUGGGAAAUCAGGACGGUUACUUUGAAAAAAUUAGAGUGUUUAAAGCAGGCUCGCGCUUGAAUACAUUAGCAUGGAAUAAUGAAAUAGGACGUUUGAUUCUAUUUUGUUGGUUUCUAGGAUCGACGUAAUGAUUAAUAGGGAUAGUUGGGGGCAUUAGUAUUCAAUUGUCAGAGGUGAAAUUCUUGGAUUUAUUGAAGACUAACUACUGCGAAAGCAUUUGCCAAGGAUGUUUUCAUUAAUCAAGAACGAAAGUUAGGGGAUCGAAGACGAUCAGAUACCGUCGUAGUCUUAACCAUAAACUAUGCCGACUAGGGAUCGGAUGAUGUUAAUUUUUUAAUGACUCAUUCGGCGCCUUACG
This 499-nucleotide ribosomal RNA is filed under the name uncultured Glomeromycotina. Its description in RNAcentral is "partial small subunit ribosomal RNA". It matches the Rfam family "Eukaryotic small subunit ribosomal RNA", at positions 591 to 1092 of the family's 1831-position model. Lineage: Eukaryota; Fungi; Glomeromycota. The record is from RNAcentral.